RNAcentral lists this long non-coding RNA (490 nucleotides) under Bos taurus (domestic cattle). RNAcentral's name for it is "long non-coding RNA NONBTAT012152". Lineage: Eukaryota; Metazoa; Chordata; Mammalia; Artiodactyla; Bovidae. The record is from RNAcentral.
UGGCUCAGCAUUUUGGAAAUAUCAACCAGUUAAGACUGCUUUCUCAGACAGAAAUAACAGGUCUUGUUUACAUUUUGACUCUUUCUGUAUUGAACACACAUGAACAUCCUCGAAUGUUGUGGAUAAUGUCUGUGUAAGUCACAGUGCUGAUGUAUUUGGAAGUGGAUUGUAUUUAACGUUUAGCGAACCUUUUGUGAAGGUUUUUUUAUGUUUGCGUAGGGUUUUUGUUUUUGUUUUAGGAUUUUGGGGGGUUUGGGUGUUUUUUUUUAAUUUUUAUUUUUUAGUAUGGUGAAAGUCUUUUCAUUUGCCUCUAAAUAUAUGAAAGGAAAUUGUGAAACUCCAGUUUAGUAUGGUAACUGUUAAAAACUUUUCUAUUAUCAUCUAUUUGACUGAAAAAUGUGUAUUUUUCUAAUUCAUAUUGAUGUAACAUUAGUCCUAAUUGAAGAACUAGUAUUUAAACUUACUAUUUAUAAAGAUAAAACAUCAAAAA